Molecule: ribosomal RNA, 253 nt
Filed under: uncultured bacterium
Lineage: Bacteria
Description: partial 16S ribosomal RNA
Rfam family: Bacterial small subunit ribosomal RNA
Source: RNAcentral
UACGGAGGGUGCAAGCGUUAUCCGGAUUCACUGGGUUUAAAGGGAGCGCAGGCGGGCUGGUAAGUCAGUGGUGAAAGCCUUGAGCUUAACUCGAGAACUGCCAUUGAUACUAUCAGUCUUGAAUAUUGUUGAGGUUUGCGGAAUGGGUCAUAUAGCGGUGAAAUGCAUAGAUAUGACCCGGAACACCUAUUGCGAAGGCAGCAGGCUAAACAAAGAUUGACGCUGAGGCUCGAAAGCGUGGGGAUCAAACAGG